RNAcentral lists this ribosomal RNA (253 nucleotides) under uncultured bacterium. RNAcentral describes it as "partial 16S ribosomal RNA". It matches the Rfam family "Bacterial small subunit ribosomal RNA", at positions 524 to 776 of the family's 1533-position model. The record is from RNAcentral.
CACGUAGGGCGCAAGCGUUGUCCGGAAUUAUUGGGCGUAAAGAGCUCGUAGGCGGACUGUCACGUCUGCUGUGAAAAGCUGGGGCUUAACCCUGGCCUUGCAGUGGAUACGGGCAGACUAGAGGUAGGUAGGGGAGAAUGGAAUUCCCGGUGUAGCGGUGAAAUGCGCAGAUAUCGGGAGGUACACCGGUGGCGAAGGCGGUUCUCUGGGCCUUACCUGACGCUGAGGAGCGAAAGCGUGGGGAGCGAACAGG